RNAcentral lists this ribosomal RNA (714 nucleotides) under uncultured Acidobacteriota bacterium. RNAcentral describes it as "bacterial SSU rRNA". It matches the Rfam family "Bacterial small subunit ribosomal RNA", at positions 76 to 772 of the family's 1533-position model. Lineage: Bacteria; Pseudomonadati; Acidobacteriota. The record is from RNAcentral.
CCCGCAAGGGGUGACUGAGUGGCGAACGGGUGAGUAACACGUGGGUGACCUACCUUCGAAUGGGGGAUAACGUCCCGAAAGGGACGCUAAUACCGCAUAACAUCCUGCCUUUGAAGAGGUGGAGAUCAAAGCCGGGGAUCGUAAGACCUGGCGUUUGAAGAGGGGCCCGCGUCUGAUUAGCUAGUUGGUGAGGUAACGGCCCACCAAGGCAACGAUCAGUAUCCGGCCUGAGAGGGCGGACGGACACACUGGGACUGAGACACGGCCCAGACUCCUACGGGAGGCAGCAGUGGGGAAUUGUUCGCAAUGGGCGCAAGCCUGACGACGCAACGCCGCGUGGAGGAUGAAGGUCCUCGGAUUGUAAACUCCUGUUGCCCGGGACGAAAAGCUUUGACCUAAUACGUCAAAGUCUGACGGUACCGGGUGAGGAAGCCCCGGCUAACUCUGUGCCAGCAGCCGCGGUAAUACAGAGGGGGCAAGCGUUGUUCGGAAUUACUGGGCGUAAAGGGCGCGUAGGCGGCCCUCUAAGUCAGACGUGAAAUCCCCGGGCUCAACCCGGGAACUGCGUCUGAUACUGGGGGGCUUGAAUCCGGGAGAGGGAUGUGGAAUUCCAGGUGUAGCGGUGAAAUGCGUAGAUAUCUGGAGGAACACCGGUGGCGAAGGCGGCAUCCUGGACCGGUAUUGACGCUGAGGCGCGAAAGCCAGGGGAGCAAA